RNAcentral lists this long non-coding RNA (1725 nucleotides) under Heterocephalus glaber (naked mole-rat). Its description in RNAcentral is "lncRNA (ENSHGLG00000034375.1)". Lineage: Eukaryota; Metazoa; Chordata; Mammalia; Rodentia; Bathyergidae. The record is from RNAcentral.
GUGUGUGUGUGUGUGUGUGUGUGUGUGUGUAGUGAAACAUAGAAAAUAGAUUAUUUUAAUUGCUAAUUGUACUUGAGACCCCUACCAAGAUAUUUUUAAAAAUGUGGCCUAAAUGUUCUCCUCAACAGGCGCAGUGAAGGAAUUACAGUUUAUUCAGAGGCUGACGUGCAGCUGCUGAUUGGAGUACAAAGAGCAGUAAUCAAGGAUAUGACUCCACUGUAAGUUUAGGAACAUCUUCCCUGGCAAAUAGGAGCCCUACAUUUCUACUUCUGGAAGUAACAGCCAAGACCCUCCCAGAGGACUCAGCUCCUGCAGAACAACCACAAAAUCUGAACAGGACACAGAAGCAACUACCCGCAGCGCUGGGGAACAGCAGGGGCAGAUGGCUUUGCAGAGGUGGCGAACCUGUGUAAGACCGAGGGCCUUACCAAACGCUCUGAGGAGCUGACUGCAGGGAAGAACACCUGGGAAGGAACACACCGGACAAGUUGGAAAGUAAAACAGACCUUAGUCUGGCCAGACUGCACUCCCAAAGCAAAGUAGCUUAGAGAGGCGACUAGCCCAGAGUCCAAGGCUCUUUUUUGCAGGGGAAGUUAACAGGCGAAAUUUACAGAAGAGGAACAAAGGUUAGUGGUCAGCUGACACGUACUGAUGGUCAGCAGAUGUUUGUAGAUUGUUCUAUAGAUAGCGGUGUCCGGAACAUCAGUUUCGAACAAAGAGUUGAGUAAUUUACUUUGGGACCUUAUGGCUGAUACAGAUCUUAUCUAGUGUCCUGGAACUAACAAGCAUCUUUAUCUAUUUACUCACAUUUACAGUUGGGGCUAGGGGAGUUUUAUGAUUACAGAGUUAUGCAGUCCCCCACCUGUGGCACGCAUGCCACAGUGGGCCAUGUGUUAUUACCAAAAGCUCUAAAAGGUUCACCAUCACUGGCUCCUAGUGAAGACCGUGAGCUGUCGGGAGGGAGAGGAGGGUCACAACUCAGUCAGUCCCCAUGCCCAGGUCUUAGCUGGAGGCCAAGAGAAGCCUGCACUCGGUGCACACGGCAAUACCAGGGACAGACACGAAAAACACCUGCAGCCUGAUUUUUUCUGAAAAAUCAGAAAAGUGGACACUUAAAAGAGAAAGAGACGCUUACAAGGGGAAAAGAGAGAAGAUCCCAACUCAGCCUUCCCACGUCUCUGACUGAACCCUGACCCAAGUACCAUGGAGCAGACACAAAAUGGCUCAGCUGAAGACAGCAGCAACCACAGAAAUUCCAAACCGAGACUUCCAUCCAAGAAAAAGAGUGUGCGUUCAGGUCGAGCGGAGACUGAUAUCUGCUAACACAGAGGAAAAAGACUCCUUAGAGAAAAGAAAAAUCCAGAAUCUCCACAAACUAACUUUCAUAAUACUCAGGACACAAUCCAAAAUUACACGAUAUGGAAAAAAAAAAACUAGGAAACAUUCUUAACAGAAAAAAAUUCAACCAAGCCCAACCUUAUAAUGAACCAGAUGUUGGACCUAACAGAAAAGGAUUUUGAAUUUGCUCUUCUAACUCCCCUCAGGGAAAGAGCACAACCAUGAUUUCAAGGACUACAAACACCAGCAGAGAAAUGAAAGUCUGAACAAGGAAACAGAAACAGCAAAGAGGAAACAAAUAGAAACAAAGAACCAAACUUAAAAAAAUACAAUUUCGUAAAUAAGAAUUCACUUACUAGACUAAAAACUGAAUGACUGUGAUGGAUG